This is a non-coding RNA of Malassezia arunalokei, 98 nucleotides long. The record is from the annotation of a GenBank genome assembly. NCBI's taxonomy places the organism in Eukaryota, Fungi, Basidiomycota, Malasseziomycetes, Malasseziales, Malasseziaceae.
GACUUUAUAACUCAGUUGGUUAGAGUAUCACGUUAACAUAAGAUCGUGACAAGCGGUGAUUACCGUGAAAGUCCCCGGUUCGAGUCCGGGUAAAGUCA